RNAcentral lists this transfer RNA (72 nucleotides) under Actinomycetota bacterium. RNAcentral describes it as "Actinobacteria bacterium tRNA-Val". It matches the Rfam family "tRNA". From Rfam's summary of the family: Transfer RNA (tRNA) molecules are approximately 80 nucleotides in length. Their secondary structure includes four short double-helical elements and three loops (D, anti-codon, and T loops). Lineage: Bacteria; Bacillati; Actinomycetota. The record is from RNAcentral.
GGGUGGUUAGCUCAGCGGGAGAGCACUGCGCUUACAACGCAGGGGUCACUGGUUCGAACCCAGUACCGCCCA